GGGGUGGCACACAGAUGGAGCAUGAACCAAGCAGGGAAAGUUGUGCACAGCAACGGCACUGACCCAGGAAUCUCUUGCUGAGCACAGAGAGGGCAUCUUGUCUGCAUGGGAGUUGUAUGUGGCUGCCGAGCAACCAAAGCAAGGAGAGGAAGGAGGUAAGGGGUUCCUGAAAUAGAUUUGAUUUUCACAAUUUGGUUUAAAUCUGACCCUUGUCCUCCUAGAAAGUAGAAGAUAUGAUAAAGAUUUUGGCUUUGGGGACCAGCUCUCGGGAAGAAAGGACUGCAGGAUGGAGGAGGGUUUUGACUUGCCCUGGUGUGUGUGUGUAAACUGGGAUCCGGAGUUUGACAGCAGAGGAGAGACUUCUGGUGUGAAGGCAGAGCGAUCCUGGUCCCCUAGGGAGUACACUUGAUAAGCAAGAGACCAGGUACAGAUUCUUUCAGAUCUUACAGUUCUCAAAGAGCAAGCAAAUGUCCUCUUUCCAAGCCUCACAUUUAGACUGACUGCUGGCAGAUAGAAAACUUCUUGAAGGAGGCCUCGGCUUUGAAGGUUUGUUGUAAGACCGUAACACCUAACUCAGGGGUGGAAGUGGGUGCUCUGCCUUAGCCUUCCCAUGGUUACACCAAGAGGAUCUGGACGACCACUGCUCCUGAGAGGCCAAUGUUUCUACUUCGUGGCUUUAACCAGUGUGCUCUGGCUGCCAUCUGCACAGACCCGAGAGUCUUUUCUUCCACAGAGGUUUCACCUUCAACUGCCUACAGCAUUUGGUCUCUUCUGGAGGAAUUUAAGAGGGCCGUACCAGCAGCACAUCAAGGAUCCCAGCCUAGGGGUCUAAAAGGAGCUACAGCUGCCGGCCUACUCCACAGCCACAGCAGCGCAGGAUCCAAGCCGAGUCUGCGACGUACACCACAUCUCACGGCAACUAAAGAUCCUUAAUCCACAUAGCGAGGCCAGGGAUCGAACUCUCGACCUCAUGGUUCCUAGUCAGAUUCGUUUCCACUUCACCACAAUGGGAACUCCAAGGAUCCUAAACUUCGUGAAGGCAGAAUGCUCGCUUAACUCAUUUCUGUAUUCGUCCCACAAAUUUUAUUGAGCUUUGUAAGUGCACAAAAAGGAGUUGUUAACAAAUAAAUGAUGAGCAGAGUGAAUUCACCUAGACCUAAGGAGAUGGGGCUUCCAUGAGGGCAGGGAUGAGGUGCUCUAUCUCCAUUAAUCUGAGGUGAGGAUGUGGGCAGGGAAUCCCCAUCAGCUGCAGAGAUGGCUGCAAAGUGGUGAGAAUGGGCUGACAGACCAAACGUUGCAAGUUCUGUAGAGGACUGUCACCAACCUUUGGAGAUUCCAGCUUUAGAUAAUUUUUUCUCAUGAUAUUCAUCAAAUAUUCAUUAUUGGGAGUAGAAAAUUUCCCAGUCUCUGGGGCCAUCUUUUUAUGUACUAAGAGCCCUGUUUCUGAAUGGAACUCUCUCACCUCUGGCCCCACCCUAUUAUUAAGGGUUGGCUAGAAUCCAUGUGUCCUUUGGACUAGGAAGCUGCAUAACCGAUGGUAAAUGCCUCCCCCUUUUGUCACCCCAGCAGUUCCAGGCUGAGUCAUUUUCUAAAUAAGCCACUUGUGGUUUUUGGUCUGACAUCACAUGUGGAAGACUGAGUAAUUUUUUAAGAACCAGAAUUAAAGUCGAUCAGAAUAAGAUACAUUGUGUACGUUACUCAUGGUUCUAGGACAAGGGGUCAACGCUGGUAACAAGUACCCUAAGCUUCUCCUACCCCUCCUUUCCCUGGGGCUGAGGGACAGGGAGAAGGCCAAGGAAGGAGGUGGGGAUGGAUAUGAAGAAUUUUUGUGUGCAUCUCUAAUUUUGUUAAUACAUUAUGUACAGUAAAAUUAUAUCUUGUUGCCACUUCCAGAUUAAAUAAAAGUAAUAUAGCAAAGUAGGUAAGGCCUGGGGGCUCUGCUGCUUGGGUUCAAAUCCCAGCUUCACCACAUACCAGUUGGGCAAGUUACUGAUUCUUGAUUCGCCUGCAUUUCCUCAUUUAUAAAAUAAUAGUAUCUAUGAUGUAGGGUUGUUGUCAGGAAUAAAUGAAUUGAUAUAUGUUGAGUGCUUAGAAUUGUCUGGAACUUAGUAAGCACUAUGGAAAUAUGACUAAAUAUUUCUGUGAGUCCACCACAACGUUUAUGCUCAUAUUAAAUGUUCAAUAAAUGGUUCUUGAUGAAAUGAAUGUGUUCUAUUAAAACAUAUUUGGAACUGGGGAGAGAGGUGACUACAAGUGGUAGACUCUUGGCUGGAAAGAGAAGACCCAUAAAAAUCAAUUCCCUUGAGCACAGGUAUUCAGUUUGCCUGCCUGCCUUUUGUUUGUUGCUAGUUUGUUUCUUAGUUAUGUGCAUUGUGGCAGGAGGAGGGCUGCCUCCCUGCACCGCCCCCCUACCCCUGUGUCAGUGGGAGGUUCUAUUUCUUUUUUUUCUUUUUUCUCUUUUUAGGGCUGCACCCAUGGCAUAUGGAAG
Sus scrofa (pig) is the source of this 2488-nucleotide long non-coding RNA. RefSeq lists it as uncharacterized. Lineage: Eukaryota; Metazoa; Chordata; Mammalia; Artiodactyla; Suidae. The record is from RefSeq and is a predicted model, not a curated record.